AGGGUUUGAUUCUGGCUCAGGACGAACGCUGGCGGUGCGCCUUAUGCAUGCAAGUUGAGCGAAGCUUUUCAGUAGUUUACUACAGAAAAUGACUGAGCGGCGAACGGGUGAGUAACGCGUGAGCAAUCUACCUUAGUUACUGGGAUAGCCCGAGGAAACUCGGAUUAAUACCGGAUAUUCUUAUUUUUUCACAUGAAGUUUUAAGGAAAGGUCAGCCGAACUAAGAUGAGCUCGCGUUCUAUCAGCUAGUUGGUGGGGUAAAAGCCUACCAAGGCUACGACGGAUAGCUGGUCUGAGAGGACGAUCAGCCACACUGGGACUGAGACACGGCCCAGACUCCUACGGGAGGCUGCAGCAGGGAAUAUUGCGCAAUGAGCGAAAGCUUGACGCAGCGACACCGCGUGUGGGAUGACGGUUCUAGGAUUGUAAACCACUUUCAGGAGGGAAGAAAAUGACGGUACCUCCACAAGAAGACCCGGCCAACUACGUGCCAGCCGCCGCGGUAAUAC
This 509-nucleotide ribosomal RNA is filed under the name uncultured bacterium. RNAcentral describes it as "bacterial SSU rRNA". It matches the Rfam family "Bacterial small subunit ribosomal RNA", at positions 8 to 526 of the family's 1533-position model. The record is from RNAcentral.